This 395-nucleotide long non-coding RNA is filed under the name Mytilus galloprovincialis (Mediterranean mussel). Lineage: Eukaryota; Metazoa; Mollusca; Bivalvia; Mytilida; Mytilidae. The record is from RNAcentral.
AACUAGAGGCUCUUUAGAGCCUGUGUCGCUCACCUUGGUCUAUGUGCAUACAUGUAUUAAACAAAGGACACAGAUGGAUUCAUGACAAAAUUGUGUUUUGAUGAUGGUGAUGUGUUUGUAGAUCUUACUUUACUGAACAUUCUUGCUACUUACAAUUUUCUCUAUCUAUAAUAAACUUGGCCCUUUAGUUACACAGAGGAAAAUAUUUUGUAAAAAUUUACAAAAAUUUAUAAAAUUAAUGAAAAUUGUUAAAAAAUGACUAUAAAGGGCAAUAACUCUUUGAGGGGGUCAACUGACCAUUUAGGUCAUGUUGACUUAUUUGUAGAUCUUACUUUGCUGAAUAUAUUGCUGUUGAUAGUUUAUCUCUAUCUAUACUAAUAUUCAAGAUAAUAACC